AUCCUUCUCUGGUUCAUGAGCAUGAUGAUUGGGUUUUCACGGGUUUGUGUGACAUGUGUCUCCCAUAAAACUUGUAAUGACGUCAGCACAUUACCCAUCUGACA
Molecule: small nucleolar RNA, 104 nt
Organism: Echinops telfairi (small Madagascar hedgehog)
Lineage: Eukaryota; Metazoa; Chordata; Mammalia; Afrosoricida; Tenrecidae
Source: Ensembl